RNAcentral lists this ribosomal RNA (490 nucleotides) under uncultured bacterium. RNAcentral's name for it is "partial 16S ribosomal RNA". It matches the Rfam family "Bacterial small subunit ribosomal RNA", at positions 30 to 507 of the family's 1533-position model. The record is from RNAcentral.
AUUGAACGCUGGCGGCAGGCCUAACACAUGCAAGUCGAGCGGUAGCACAGGGGAGCUUGCUCCCUGGGUGACGAGCGGCGGACGGGUGAGUAAUGUCUGGGAAACUGCCUGAUGGAGGGGGAUAACUACUGGAAACGGUAGCUAAUACCGCAUAACGUCGCAAGGCCAAAGAGGGGGACCUUCGGGCCUCUUGCCAUCAGAUGUGCCCAGAUGGGAUUAGCUAGUAGGUGGGGUAAUGGCUCACCUAGGCGACGAUCCCUAGCUGGUCUGAGAGGAUGACCAGCCACACUGGAACUGAGACACGGUCCAGACUCCUACGGGAGGCAGCAGUGGGGAAUAUUGCACAAUGGGCGCAAGCCUGAUGCAGCCAUGCCGCGUGUGUGAAGAAGGCCUUCGGGUUGUAAAGCACUUUCAGCGAGGAGGAAGGUGGUGAGCUUAAUACGUUCAUCAAUUGACGUUACUCGCAGAAGAAGCACCGGCUAACUCCGUG